AGAGUUUGAUCCUGGCUCAGGAUGAACGCUGGCGGCAUGCCUAAUACAUGCAAGUCGAACGAGAGGAAGGAAAGCUUGCUUUUCUGAAUCUAGUGGCGAACGGGUGAGUAACACGUAGGUAACCUGCCCAUGUGCCCGGGAUAACUUCUGGAAACGGAUGCUAAAACCGGAUAGGUAGCAGACAAGCAUUUGACUGCUAUUAAAGUGGCUAAGGCCAUGAACAUGGAUGGACCUGCGGUGCAUUAGCUAGUUGGUGAGGUAACGGCCCACCAAGGCGACGAUGCAUAGCCGGCCUGAGAGGGCGGACGGCCACAUUGGGACUGAGACACGGCCCAAACUCCUACGGGAGGCAGCAGUAGGGAAUUUUCGUCAAUGGGGGGAACCCUGAACGAGCAAUGCCGCGUGAGUGAAGAAGGUCUUCGGAUCGUAAAGCUCUGUUGUAAGAGAAAAACGACAUUCAUAGGGAAUGAUGAGUGAGUGAUGGUAUCUUACCAGAAAGUCACGGCUAACUACGUGCCAGCAGCCGCGGUAAUACGUAGGUGGCGAGCGUUAUCCGGAAUGAUUGGGCGUAAAGGGUGCGUAGGUGGCAGAACAAGUCUGGAGUAAAAGGUAUGGGCUCAACCCGUACUGGCUCUGGAAACUGUUCAGCUAGAGAACAGAAGAGGACGGCGGAACUCCAUGUGUAGCGGUAAAAUGCGUAGAUAUAUGGAAGAACACCGGUGGCGACGGCGGCCGUCUGGUCUGUUGCUGACACUGAAGCACGAAAGCGUGGGGAGCAAAUAGGAUUAGAUACCCUAGUAGUCCACGCCGUAAACGAUGAGAACUAGGUGUUGGGGGAAUAACUCAAUGCCGCAGUUAACGCAAU
RNAcentral lists this ribosomal RNA (865 nucleotides) under uncultured bacterium. RNAcentral describes it as "bacterial SSU rRNA". It matches the Rfam family "Bacterial small subunit ribosomal RNA", at positions 8 to 861 of the family's 1533-position model. The record is from RNAcentral.